GUGGGGAAUAUUGGACAAUGGGCGAAAGCCUGAUCCAGCCAUGCCGCGUGUGUGAAGAAGGUCUUCGGAUUGUAAAGCACUUUAAGUUGGGAGGAAGGGCAGUAAGUUAAUACCUUGCUGUUUUGACGUUACCAACAGAAUAAGCACCGGCUAACUUCGUGCCAGCAGCCGCGGUAAUACGAAGGGUGCAAGCGUUAAUCGGAAUUACUGGGCGUAAAGCGCGCGUAGGUGGUUUUGUAAGUUGGAGGUGAAAUCCCCGGGCUCAACCUGGGAACUGCCUCCAAAACUGCAUGACUAGAGUACGGUAGAGGGUAGUGGAAUUUCCUGUGUAGCGGUGAAAUGCGUAGAUAUAGGAAGGAACACCAGUGGCGAAGGCGACUACCUGGACUGAUACUGACACUGAGGGGCGAAAGCGUGGGGAGCAAACAGGAUUAGAAACCCCUGUAGUCC
Molecule: ribosomal RNA, 450 nt
Filed under: uncultured bacterium
Lineage: Bacteria
Description: partial 16S ribosomal RNA
Rfam family: Bacterial small subunit ribosomal RNA
Source: RNAcentral